This 48-nucleotide transfer RNA is filed under the name Neodon liaoruii. Its description in RNAcentral is "Neodon sp. l BGI-2019 partial tRNA-Phe". The record is from RNAcentral. Lineage: Eukaryota; Metazoa; Chordata; Mammalia; Rodentia; Cricetidae.
CUUAUUCAAAGCAAAGCACUGAAAAUGCUUAGAUGGAUGCAAGCAUCC